Molecule: non-coding RNA, 118 nt
Organism: Caenorhabditis elegans
Lineage: Eukaryota; Metazoa; Nematoda; Chromadorea; Rhabditida; Rhabditidae
Source: Ensembl
GGGAAGGCGGAUAGGGCAAUAACUCCCAAGUAGUUGUUCCACAUUCCGAAAUCAAAUCCUAGCACCGGCCCAUACCAGGCUGCCAAGCAAGGGGAGAAGCUGAUGCAAAUGGGGAUGA